This 237-nucleotide long non-coding RNA is filed under the name Cyanistes caeruleus (blue tit). Its description in RNAcentral is "lncRNA (ENSCCEG00000015527.1)". Lineage: Eukaryota; Metazoa; Chordata; Aves; Passeriformes; Paridae. The record is from RNAcentral.
UUGGUCAUCCUGUAGAUGUGAGCCAAGAUUUAAUACCUGGCUUGAAAUUCAUGACUCCUGCUUAUGGACAGUGUCCUCCCUUCCUUAUAGCUUUUACUUAUUACUUUUUUUAGUAAAUGUAUUAUAGUGGAAGGAAUUACCAUGACAGCUGAGGAUAAAAGUGUCCUUGACAUGAGCUGUGAAAACCUGGGAAGCAGCCCACCUUUCUUACCUCUUCUCUCAUUUGGCUCCUACUGA